GCCCAAGUAGUGUAGCCUGGCCUAGCACUCGAGCCUGUCGCGCUCGCGACCCGGGUUCAAAUCCCGGCUUGGGCG
Molecule: transfer RNA, 75 nt
Filed under: Candidatus Woesearchaeota archaeon
Lineage: Archaea; Nanobdellati; Candidatus Woesearchaeota
Description: tRNA-Asp
Rfam family: tRNA
About the family: Transfer RNA (tRNA) molecules are approximately 80 nucleotides in length. Their secondary structure includes four short double-helical elements and three loops (D, anti-codon, and T loops).
Source: RNAcentral